GGCGGCAUGGCCGAGCGGUAAGGCGGAGGACUGCAACUCCUUGGUCCCCAGUUCGAAUCUGGGUGUCGCCU
This 71-nucleotide transfer RNA is filed under the name Opuntia quimilo. RNAcentral's name for it is "tRNA-Cys". It matches the Rfam family "tRNA". Rfam says of the family: Transfer RNA (tRNA) molecules are approximately 80 nucleotides in length. Their secondary structure includes four short double-helical elements and three loops (D, anti-codon, and T loops). Further hydrogen bonds mediate the characteristic L-shaped molecular structure. tRNAs have two regions of fundamental functional importance: the anti-codon, which is responsible for specific mRNA codon recognition, and the 3' end, to which the tRNAs corresponding amino acid is attached (by aminoacyl-tRNA synthetases). tRNAs cope with the degeneracy of the genetic code in two manners: having more than one tRNA (with a specific anti-codon) for a particular amino acid; and 'wobble' base-pairing, i.e. permitting non-standard base-pairing at the 3rd anti-codon position. Lineage: Eukaryota; Viridiplantae; Streptophyta; Magnoliopsida; Caryophyllales; Cactaceae. The record is from RNAcentral. RNAcentral also lists the same sequence under 45 other names.